UAUGCAGGUAUCUGAAGCUGGAGAGAGAAUACUUACAGAAAAUCAUGAAAGUGUGUUGUUUUUUACUCUUUUUCAUAGGGCAAUACAUAUUUGUGAUUUUUUUCUAAUUUUGUAUUUUUGUGACUUAUUUUGUUUAGAGGUUAACAUACGAAGAAAGAAUGGCUCGUCGACUACUAGGUGCUGACAGUGCAACUGUCUUUAAUAUUCAGGAGCCAGAAGAGGAAACAGCUAAUCAGGACACUGGUUCUCCUCAUGCUUCUGUAGGGAGUCCUCUGGAUGGUCAAAAGGAAUACAAAGUCUCCAGCUGUGAACAGAGACUCAUCAGUGAAAUAGAGUACAGGCUAGAAAGGUCUCCUGUGGAUGAAUCAGGUGAUGAAGUUCAGUAUGGAGAUGUGCCUGUGGAAAAUGGAAUGGCACCAUUCUUUGAGAUGAAGCUGAAACAUUACAAGAUCUUUGAGGGAAUGCCAGUAACUUUCACAUGUAGAGUGGCUGGAAAUCCAAAGCCAAAGAUCUAUUGGUUUAAAGAUGGGAAGCAGAUCUCUUCAAAGAGUGAUCACUACACCAUUCAAAGAGAUCUCGAUGGGACCU
RNAcentral lists this small RNA (588 nucleotides) under Pongo abelii (Sumatran orangutan). RNAcentral describes it as "retained intron". Lineage: Eukaryota; Metazoa; Chordata; Mammalia; Primates; Hominidae. The record is from RNAcentral.